RNAcentral lists this ribosomal RNA (326 nucleotides) under uncultured bacterium. Its description in RNAcentral is "bacterial SSU rRNA". It matches the Rfam family "Bacterial small subunit ribosomal RNA", at positions 28 to 337 of the family's 1533-position model. The record is from RNAcentral.
GACGAACGCUGGCGGCGUGCUUAACACAUGCAAGUCGAGCGGUAAGGCCCUUUCGGGGGUACGACGAGCGGCGAACGGGUAGGAGUAACAACGUGGGUGGACCUCGCCCUCCAGCUCUGGGAGUAAGACCUCGGGAAACCGGGGUACCGUAAUAACCGGAUAUGACUCCAUGACGCAUGUUGUGGGGUGGAAAGCCUUGUGCGGCUGAGGAUGGGCCCGGCCGGCCUAUCAGCUUGUUGGUGGGGUGAUGGCCUACCAAGGCGACGACGGGUAGCCGGCCUGAGAGGGCGACCGGCCGACACUGGGACUGAGACACGGCCCAGACU